Non-coding RNA from Tetranychus urticae (two-spotted spider mite), 1471 nucleotides. NCBI's taxonomy places the organism in Eukaryota, Metazoa, Arthropoda, Arachnida, Trombidiformes, Tetranychidae. The record is from RefSeq and is a predicted model, not a curated record.
AUUCAUUGUUUCUUGAUCUUGUGUUAAUAUAAAAUAAAAUUCACAUUUUGACUUAUCUUUCUGAUGUUGAACUUUUCUGUACCACUUUAUUUAAACUGAAAUUUUACAACUUGUUUUAGUUGCUAACAAAACUAUGUUUCAACUUAUAACUAUUAUAAAAACAGACAAAAAACAAGAUGAAAAAAUCGUUUGAAACCUUGCAGUUGAAGAGUUUCAAGUGGAUCGAAAUUUUUCAUACACAUUUUGCUUGAGUUGGAUGGAUCCUUUUACUGGUACAACACAAACAACUUUUAACAAAGUAGGUAUUAAGUUUGUUAUUUAACUCUUGAUGAUUUGCUCACAUCUUAACACCUAAUCUCGUCAACCUAAACAUGUAAGUCAAUCAAUUAUCCACCAUACUAAUACCUCAUUUAUGAUAUUAAUUCUAUUUCCUUUAUUCCUCCACUUUUUUUCAUUAUAUCCACAAUCACAGCCAAUCAGCAUCCUGAUCAUGACGUUGGAACAAAAAGGUAUAAGGAUACAAGGGAACUCGCCCAUCACCAGAAACUCAGCAUUUCCUUUUCCUUCCCUGUCUUCUUCUCAUCAUCAUUACAUCAUGAAUCAACCAUUUUUUCCAUGAGUUAAUACUUCACUGUUCAAUGACAAUCACACAUAGAGGAACACGUAUAAAAGCCCAACAUAAAAAACGAUGCUCAUGAGAUUUGACCAUCAAUCUUGACUGAAUCAUCUUCAGUCAAAGUAAUUUUUUUGUCUUACUGUUUCAUCAUUAUCACCAUCAACAUGAACCAUCUUUUUUUUCUGAUCAUUUUUCAUUCACAACUAGAAAGUAAAGAAGACAAAGAUGAACAUGAUGAAAAUGAUUAUCAUCCAAGAACCGUUAAUAUCAUGAAUAUCAGCAUCAUUACUUAUUCAUGUUUCAAUUUAAUGUCGUCAUUUAGCUAAUUACUAAUUGAGCUAAUUUUGCUUUUAUUAAUCCAUUUUGAUCCUUUCCAUACAAUCUCUCGGAUAAAACCUUUUCCUCGUCAAAUUAAGUGCAGUAACGAGAGGCAAAUAAAUCGGAGGAAAAAACAACAACAAUUCACUUUCACUAUCAAAUUCAUGAUUAAUCUUCAUCAUUUUCUUUUCCAAUCGUUUCAAGCUAAUCAUGGAGCCAACUAAAAAGGAGAAAACUCUAAAGUAAAGUCUCUAUUCAAGAAAUCUUUCAUCAGAAUGAAGCUCAAUCGAGCUCAAACAAAAAAAGAACACUUUUUUGCUGCUUCCACUUAAAACAUUUCAAGAGCGUAAUAAAAGGUUAAGGGACUGUUGAAAUAUUUUAACACCAAUCAUAAUGAUAAUCUUUUAGAUUUAUUCAAAUCUUUUCAAUGUUAAUAAUUCCAUGAAAGAUUCCAAAGUUGAAGAUACAUUUAACGAAAACUAAAACCCAAAUUGAUUCAAUAAAUUGUUGCCUGAAUGCAGUUUUUUUAAUAAUAAA